ACAGAUAUGCGGAGGAUGCAGUUAGGAGGUUCCUUGAAGCCGGCAGGGCUGCUCUAAGAGCUGGAGCAAAUGAAUCAGCUAUUGUUACAAUGCGACCUUCACUCACUAGCCGAAUUCCAGUGGGGGGUCCUGGUAACUACCAGAAAGCCUAUUGAUUCCUCACAAAACCACCAGUUUAGAUAUGAAUUUAAAUACAAAUAUAAAAUUACUGUGUCCGUAAAUAUAUAAUGUAAAAUUGCAAAUGAAUCUGCUAUUUGUUACAAUGAAUACUAGUACUGUUCCUAUUUACAUGUGCAAGUGGUGCUUGUAUUAUCAGGUAUAUGCAGUAGUUAAUCUGAUUGUCAGAUUCUCAAGAGUGGAGAUUGUGUACCUUGCAUCUUGUUCUUGCGAGAACCACAGAAAUAAGAGGCCUCGUAGCCAU
This 421-nucleotide long non-coding RNA is filed under the name Populus trichocarpa (black cottonwood). Its description in RNAcentral is "long non-coding RNA (PTRI_LNC002279)". The record is from RNAcentral. Lineage: Eukaryota; Viridiplantae; Streptophyta; Magnoliopsida; Malpighiales; Salicaceae.